This 420-nucleotide ribosomal RNA is filed under the name uncultured Nitrososphaerota archaeon. Its description in RNAcentral is "bacterial SSU rRNA". It matches the Rfam family "Archaeal small subunit ribosomal RNA", at positions 459 to 879 of the family's 1478-position model. The record is from RNAcentral. Lineage: Archaea; Thermoproteati; Nitrososphaerota.
CAGCCGCCGCGGUAACACCAGCUCCUCGAGUGGUGGGGAUGAUUAUUUGGUCUAAAGCGUCCGUAGCCGGCCUUGUAAGUUUCCCGUUAAAUCCAACGUCUUAAGCGUUGGGCUGCGGGAAAUACUGCUAGGCUAGAGAGUGGGAGAGGUUAACGGUAUUCUGGGGGUAGGGGCGAAAUCCUUUGAUCCCCGGAGGACCACCAGUGGCGAAGGCUGCUUACUAGAACACGCCUGACGGUCAGGGACGAAAGCUGGGGUAGCGAACCGGAUUAGAUACCCGGGUAGUCCCAGCCGUAAACGAUGCAUGCUAGGUGUUGGGUUGGCCAUGAGCCGCCUCAGUGCCGCAGGGAAGCCGAUAAGCAUGCCGCCUGGGGAGUACGGCCGCAAGGCUGAAACUUAAAGGAAUUGGCGGGGGAGCAC